CGCGUGAGCAACAUGCCCGUAUCAGGGGGAUAAUCCAUGGAAACGUGGUCCUAAUACCCCAUAGGUAAUUAUGUAAGGCAUCUUAUAUAAUUUAAAGCUUUGGUGGAUACGGAUUGGCUCGCGUGACAUUAGCUGGAUGGUAAGGUAACGGCUUACCAUGGCUACGAUGUCUAGGGGUUCUGAGAGGAAGGUCCCCCACACUGGAACUGAGACACGGUCCAGACUCCUACGGGAGGCAGCAGUGAGGAAUAUUGGACAAUGGAUGGAAAUCUGAUCCAGCCAUGCCGCGUCGCAGGAAGACGGCCCUAUGGGUUGUAAACUGCUUUUGUAUGGGAGCAAUAAGGGCUACGUGUAGUCCGAUGAGAGUACCAUACGAAUAAGCACCGGCUAACUCCGUGCCAGCCGCCGC
Molecule: ribosomal RNA, 409 nt
Filed under: uncultured bacterium
Lineage: Bacteria
Description: bacterial SSU rRNA
Rfam family: Bacterial small subunit ribosomal RNA
Source: RNAcentral